Molecule: transfer RNA, 69 nt
Rfam family: tRNA
About the family: Transfer RNA (tRNA) molecules are approximately 80 nucleotides in length.
GCGGGUGUAGUUUAGUGGUAAAACCUCAGCCUUCCAAGCUGAUGAUGUGGUUGAUUCUCAUCACCCGCU